RNAcentral lists this ribosomal RNA (392 nucleotides) under uncultured bacterium. Its description in RNAcentral is "bacterial SSU rRNA". It matches the Rfam family "Bacterial small subunit ribosomal RNA", at positions 29 to 416 of the family's 1533-position model. The record is from RNAcentral.
AACGAACGCUGGCGGCGCGCCUAAUACAUGCAAGUCGAGCGAGAAGACGUAGCAAUACGUUUGUAAAGCGGCGAACGGGUGAGGAAUACAUGGGUAACCUACCCUCGAGUGGGGAAUAACUAGCCGAAAGGUUAGCUAAUACCGCGUACGCUCCUUGGACUUCGGUUCAGGGAGAAAGCGAUACCGUGGGUAUCGCGCUCUUGGAUGGGCUCAUGUCCUAUCAGCUUGUUGGUGAGGACGGCUCACCAAGGCUUCGACGGGUAGCUGGUCUGAGAGGACGAUCAGCCACACUGGCACUGCGACACGGGCCAGACUCCUACGGGAGCAGCAGUAGGAUAUUGCGCAAUGGGCAAAGCCCUAGACGCAGCGACGCCGCGUGGGGGAUGAAGGUC